CCACGGAGCCGCGGAGCCAGGAGCCGCGGAGCGCGAGAGCAGCGCCUCUGGAGGCGGGCGGCGGUUCGGCGUGCGGCGGCUCGGCGUGCGGCCGCGUGUGCGAGCCGGCCGGGGCGGACGGUUUGGCCUGGGCUAAAACGUCUACAGACCCUAGGAUUGCUGUGGGUCAGCAGUCCCCACUGGAGAAAAAAAUCUUGAAUCUAGGUGGCGUGCACACGACAGCAGCAAGACAGCUGAUAACUCACAGAUACCGGGAGGAGUAUGAGACGCUGCGUAGGGAGCAAGCUCUUUCCCUUGACUACUGGCUGGCCAAAGCAGAGUCUUACUGUAAUAAAAGAAUAAUGGACAUGGUGAAAGAACAAGAGACAGGCCACGAAAGCGAGAAGAAAUUGGAGGGGAAAACGACCCACAGGCUAGAGAGACAAAGGCGGUAUUACUUGGUUCCGGAGAGAGAGGUGAAACACAUAGAAAGGCAUGUUCAGAGAGGAGGUCAGGUCAGAGAGUCAAAGAACAAAAAAUGUAGACAAUUACCACGGCCCCCUAGUGAAACAACAUUCCCAAAAAUUGUGCCGGAAGAGCGUGGUGUUCUGAGCGCCCAGAGAAGAAAGCGCAUAAGCGAGAGGGAACAGAUGCAAAUUAAAGGUCACCAGGAACGCAUGGUUCGCGGGAGAGAACUCAUGGAGCAAAGAGUCAAGGAGAGAGUCAUGAGAAAAAGCCAGAGCCAGCCGCCGACCCGUGAGAGGCGUGGGAGAGCAAAGAGGGAGAUGAAAGAGUUUGAGAGCGUUAUUGCGUAUCCCCUUUUCCAGCCGUGCAGGAGAAGUCGGAUUAAAGUGAAUAUCCUUAUGGAAAAGAAUAGAGAAGAAGUGAAUACUAUUAUAAAACCACAUCAAAGGAAAUUCCUAACUAUGCCACCCUUUCUUAGAAGCCAAAUAGGAAAAAUAAAAGACUAGUAAAGUUUCAGUGCUUUUAUAAUGA
Ailuropoda melanoleuca (giant panda) is the source of this 975-nucleotide long non-coding RNA. RefSeq lists it as uncharacterized. The transcript is spliced from 3 exons. Lineage: Eukaryota; Metazoa; Chordata; Mammalia; Carnivora; Ursidae. The record is from RefSeq and is a predicted model, not a curated record.